UACAGAGGUCUCAAGCGUUGUUCGGAUUCAUUGGGCGUAAAGGGCGCGUAGGCUGCGGGGCAAGUCGGGUGUGAAAUCUCAGAGCUCAACUCUGAAACUGCACUCGAUACUGCUUUGCUUGAGGACUGGAGAGGAGAUUGGAAUUCACGGUGUAGCAGUGAAAUGCGUAGAUAUCGUGAGGAAGACUAGUGGCGAAGGCGGAUCUCUGGACAGUUCCUGACGCUGGGGCGCGAAGGCCAGGGGAGCAAACGGG
This 253-nucleotide ribosomal RNA is filed under the name uncultured bacterium. RNAcentral describes it as "partial 16S ribosomal RNA". It matches the Rfam family "Bacterial small subunit ribosomal RNA", at positions 524 to 776 of the family's 1533-position model. The record is from RNAcentral.